RNAcentral lists this ribosomal RNA (117 nucleotides) under Periophthalmus magnuspinnatus. Lineage: Eukaryota; Metazoa; Chordata; Actinopteri; Gobiiformes; Gobiidae. The record is from RNAcentral.
CACUGUGCCCAAACCUCUUUGUCAAAGCCUGAUCUUGUCAGAUCUCAGAAACUAAACCAGGUUGGGCCUGGUUAGUAUUUGGAUGAGAGACUGCUGGGAAUAUAAGUGUCUCAGUGA